UUAGGCCAGCAUGCUACACACAUUGAAUAAAAUCAGUAACUUCAGCUAGUCUAACUUGAUGACAAGAUUCUCUAUCAGUGCUGGACAUAAUGGCAUUAAAAUCCCCUGCUAUCAACCAGGGGUCAGUGAUACUAGCAGCAAGAUUCUGAAGAGUUGUCCACAGUGAUUUCCUUUGUACAAUGUGACAUCUUGUAUCUCAACAUGUCACAGCUCUUAGAAAUUUUUAUUGAAAAUAUAAAGAAAAACGAAUUAGAAGCAUAGUUUGACUACUAACGAC
Molecule: long non-coding RNA, 277 nt
Filed under: Nicotiana benthamiana
Lineage: Eukaryota; Viridiplantae; Streptophyta; Magnoliopsida; Solanales; Solanaceae
Description: long non-coding RNA (NBEN_LNC013359)
Source: RNAcentral